GGGGGACCCCAGAGUCAACCACUUAAAUUAUAAUGUGCAAGGAGAGUGUCAUUCAUUGCAUGAAACCCAAUACCAGGGAGAAAAUGUGGCACAGGGGAUGAGGCCACACGAUGCGGGCACCUGGAGCGUGGCCAAGGGGAGCUCGCUCACCACCGCUGGUCGUCACCUGCUCCUCCCUAGAACGCCUCCUCCCGUCGUCCCCGCCACUCACGUGCCCCCUGUGGGACAGACACCUUCAGUGUGGUGAGAUGUGGGGGCGGGGCCUUUGGGAGACGAUUAAGGGUGGAUGAGGUCAUGGGGACAGGGAUGAGUGACCUUGCAGAAAGCAGCUGAGAGCUCUCUCCUCUCCCUGUGCCAUGUAUGAGCACUCGGCAGACAACCAGCCCACUGCAAGCCAGGACAAAGGCCCUCACCAGAGCUCGGCAGGGAGCCAGCCCACUGCCUGCCAGGACAAAGGCCCUCACCAGAGCUGGCCACACUGGCACCGUGUGCCAGCCUCCAGCACACCUCCAGAGGUACAGGUGUGCUGCUGGUCCACCCAGCCUGUGGGGGUUGUCACGGCGGCUGAGAAACGGGGGUGCCAUGGCCUCCGGCUGCGAUUACCACCAGUCCUGGGGACGUGCCCACAGCUGGAGUCCCAGAAGUCCAAGAGCGUGUGGCUGGCAUGGGGCUGACUUCUGGGGAGGGUGUGGUGAGGAGGUGGGGAGUGAAGGGCACGCGAGCACCAGCGUGUGGAGGAUGGGAACCAGGAGUGGCCGCCCCGCAGACCAGCUUUGCACAACAGCCUGGUGUGAGUCCCCAGGCCCCACAGGGACCCCUCUGGAGGCCCUGCUCACGGCUCACGGCUCCCGCACCUCUCCGCUCCAUCACCUCGGCAAUGCUGCAGUGGGACAGGCCAUCCUCAGCCCCCAGCGCCGGCUCCUGGGGCUGCUGGGACUCCUGACGACUUCCCACGCCAACCACCUAGAUGGGGAAAGAGCCAGCGCCAGACCCACGUGCAGCUGGCCAGGCAGGUGCACAGGGGUGGGAGGGGGCUGGGCAUUGGCCACGGGCCCGAGGAAGAUACAAAAGGCAAGGGUCUCUUGA
RNAcentral lists this long non-coding RNA (1086 nucleotides) under Oryctolagus cuniculus (rabbit). Its description in RNAcentral is "lncRNA (ENSOCUG00000033681.1)". The record is from RNAcentral. Lineage: Eukaryota; Metazoa; Chordata; Mammalia; Lagomorpha; Leporidae.